UACAAAGUUUUCUAGGGUUCCGCGGGCGGCCUGCUUCCCGGUCUGGACCAAGAGAAGACGCACAGCUAAAGACUGUGUUCACGGAGGGAUAAAAGCCCGGGAGAU
Molecule: small RNA, 105 nt
Filed under: Paenibacillus sp.
Lineage: Bacteria; Bacillati; Bacillota; Bacilli; Caryophanales; Paenibacillaceae
Description: Guanidine-I sequence
Rfam family: Guanidine-I riboswitch aptamer
About the family: This family represents a conserved RNA structure found upstream of the ykkC and yxkD genes in Bacillus subtilis and related genes in other bacteria. The function of this family is unclear although it has been suggested that it may function to switch on efflux pumps and detoxification systems in response to harmful environmental molecules.
Source: RNAcentral